AACGAACGCUGGCGGCAGGCUUAACACAUGCAAGUCGAACGCCCCGCAAGGGGAGUGGCGCACGGGUGAGUAACGCGUGGAUAUCUGCCUUUUGGUUCGGAAUAACCCCGGGAAACUGGGGCUAAUACCGGAUGGUUCCUACGGGAUAAAGAUUUAUCGCCAAAAGAUGAGUCCGCGUACGAUUAGCUAGUUGGUGGGGUAAUGGCCCACCAAGGCGACGAUCGUUAGCUGGUCUGAGAGGACGAUCAGCCACACUGGGACUGAGACACGGCCCAGACUCCCACGGGAGGGAGCAGUGGGGAAAAUUGGAAAAUGGGGGGAAACCUGAGCCAGCCAUGCCGCGUGAGUGAUGGAGGGCUUUGGGUUGUAAAACCCUUUUUGGCGGGAAGAUUAUGACCGGACCCGGAAAAAAAACCCCGGCUAACUUCGUG
This 431-nucleotide ribosomal RNA is filed under the name uncultured bacterium. RNAcentral's name for it is "partial 16S ribosomal RNA". It matches the Rfam family "Bacterial small subunit ribosomal RNA", at positions 29 to 507 of the family's 1533-position model. The record is from RNAcentral.